GACAGAGGGUGCAAACGUUGCUCGGAAUCACUGGGCGUAAAGGGCGUGUAGGCGGGAAGGAAAGUCAGAUGUGAAAUCCCUGGGCUCAACCCAGGAACUGCAUUUGAAACUCCCUUUCUUGAGUGUCGGAGAGGAAAGCGGAAUUCCUGGUGUAGAGGUGAAAUUCGUAGAUAUCAGGAGGAACACCGGUGGCGAAGGCGGCUUUCUGGACGACAACUGACGCUGAGACGCGAAAGCUAGGGUAGCAAACGGG
This 253-nucleotide ribosomal RNA is filed under the name uncultured bacterium. RNAcentral describes it as "partial 16S ribosomal RNA". It matches the Rfam family "Bacterial small subunit ribosomal RNA", at positions 524 to 776 of the family's 1533-position model. The record is from RNAcentral.